GUGGGUUAUAGUUUUCUUCUAUUUGGUCUGAUUGUUGCCUCUUUGACAUGUUCCAAGUUCCACGUUUCCAUUUUCAAUUUAAGUAAGAUGUCCAAAGGGGAACAUUGUGGUGUACAGCCACCGACCUUAUAAUCAUGUUUCGUUUUUAUGUUGUUGUUUUUAGAUUGUUAAUGUUCAACUCGUGUUCGGGUUGGAUAGUUGAUAGAUAUAAGCAGAUGAGGUAUGAGUGCCAAUGAGACAACUAUCCA
This 248-nucleotide long non-coding RNA is filed under the name Mytilus galloprovincialis (Mediterranean mussel). Lineage: Eukaryota; Metazoa; Mollusca; Bivalvia; Mytilida; Mytilidae. The record is from RNAcentral.